This 468-nucleotide ribosomal RNA is filed under the name uncultured bacterium. Its description in RNAcentral is "partial 16S ribosomal RNA". It matches the Rfam family "Bacterial small subunit ribosomal RNA", at positions 28 to 507 of the family's 1533-position model. The record is from RNAcentral.
GACGAACGCUGGCGGCGUGCUUAACACAUGCGAGUCGAACGGAAAGGCCCUGCUUUUGUGGGGUGCUCGAGUGGCGAACGGGUGAGUAACACGUGAGUAACCUGCCCCUGACUUUGGGAUAACUUCAGGAAACUGGGGCUAAUACCGGAUAGGAGCUCCUGCUGCAUGGUGGGGGUUGGAAAGUUUCGGCGGUUGGGGAUGGACUCGCGGCUUAUCAGCUUGUUGGUGGGGUAGUGGCUUACCAAGGCUUUGACGGGUAGCCGGCCUGAGAGGGUGACCGGCCACAGUGGGACUGAGAUACGGCCCAGACUCCUACGGGAGGCAGCAGUGGGGAAUAUUGCACAAUGGGCGGAAGCCUGAUGCAGCAACGCCGCGUGCGGGAUGACGGCCUUCGGGUUGUAAACCGCUUUCGCCUGUGACGAAGCGUGAGUGACGGUAAUGGGUAAAGAAGCACCGGCUAACUACGUG